AACGCACAUUGCGCCCCUUGGCAUUCCGAAGGGCAUGCCUGUUCGAGCGUCAUGAUCAAAUCUCAAGCCUUGCUUGGUAUUGGGUUUUCGUCUCUCUCGUCUUUUGUACGGGUAUUGACGUGCCUGAAAAUCAAUGACAGUGCCUUAUUAGACUCAAGCGUAGCAGACUGACACGCUUUAGAGAACUUUUGUAGGCCCUGUCAAUAAAAUAAUAAGUUGGACCUCGGAUCAGGUAGGGAUACCCGCUGAACUUAA
This 255-nucleotide unclassified non-coding RNA is filed under the name uncultured fungus. Its description in RNAcentral is "partial contains 5.8S ribosomal RNA, internal transcribed spacer 2, and large subunit ribosomal RNA". The record is from RNAcentral. Lineage: Eukaryota; Fungi.